Molecule: ribosomal RNA, 442 nt
Filed under: uncultured bacterium
Lineage: Bacteria
Description: partial 16S ribosomal RNA
Rfam family: Bacterial small subunit ribosomal RNA
Source: RNAcentral
CCUACGGGAGGCAGCAGUGGGGAAUAGUGGGCAAUGGGCGCAAGCCUGACCCAGCAACGCCGCGUGAAGGAAGAAGGCUUUCGGGUUGUAAACUUCUUUUAAGGGGGAAGAGCAGAAGACGGUACCCCUUGAAUAAGCCACGGCUAACUACGUGCCAGCAGCCGCGGUAAUACGUAGGUGGCAAGCGUUGUCCGGAUUUACUGGGUGUAAAGGGCGUGCAGCCGGAGAGACAAGUCAGAUGUGAAAUCCACGGGCUCAACCCGUGAACUGCAUUUGAAACUUUUUCCCUUGAGUGUCGGAGAGGUAAUCGGCAUUCCUUGUGUAGCGGUGAAAUGCGUAGAUAUAAGGAAGAACACCAGUGGCGAAGGCGGAUUACUGGACGAUAACUGACGGUGAGGCGCGAAAGCGUGGGGAGCAAACAGGAUUAGAUACCCGUGUAGUC